RNAcentral lists this long non-coding RNA (2448 nucleotides) under Homo sapiens (human). RNAcentral's name for it is "HSALNT0322666". Lineage: Eukaryota; Metazoa; Chordata; Mammalia; Primates; Hominidae. The record is from RNAcentral.
GGACACAGCCAAACCACAUGGUUUUAGAACAUUGACGAAGAGAGAAGACAACCCACUUUGCCAUAUAUGCCCAUGAAGAUCUGGCAAGAGUUAGCAUGCAGGUCUACAUUGUGACAAUCCAUGAGAGCUAAGGACUGGCUGUCUCUUGGGACAAAUAGGCUUUCUUGAGUCUGGAUGUCCGCUCUGCUUGUCUUACCGCAUGAGAGAGUGCAGAUGUUCCUGAAAGCAUCUUUGCGUGGAUUUGCUUGAAGCGAGAUGUGAGAGAAGGGGCAAAGCUCGAAGGGAGCUGCUAGAGAGAGAGGAAAGCAGCUGGACAGGGCUUUCCUGAUGACUGAAAUCUUAUUGUGGAUAAUGGAGAUCAGGUCCUGUGGUGGUGGAUCUAAUGGAAGGAUCCUAGGUCUCUGAAUCACAACGUGGAAGAAAAUCAGUCACCACCCCUAGCUGGAACACCAACAUUUCAAAUAAGUGAAAAAUAAACUCUUAUUAUGUCAAGCCACUGCAAUUUUGGGGUUUGUCUUAGUGUUAGUGUCACCUACAUUUAUGCAAUAGCUGAGUAACAUUUUAGAAGAAGAGGAUGUUUGUAGCCAUUUUGGACUACAAGAAAUGUCAAAGAUACUUUUUAUUUUCCUAAUUUUUAAUUUCUAGGUUUAUUCUUAAAAGAGUAAGAUCUUUUUUUGAAAAAUCAGUACUAUUAUUUUGACUUUUGGAUAUACAAACAGGUCUCUCCUUAACCACUCAAAAGAGCCAAGUGAGAGGAAUUUGUGGAUAAAGACAUUUAAAGGUAGUAUGAAAUCUUUAAUCACGCCAAAUCAACACUCAUCACCACGACAUUCUGUCAGUGCCUCCAGGGAUUAAGGACAUAUGAAUGUCUUUCCCUGAAAUGUGAUUGUGACAUUGGACUUAGCUAUUUGGGUUUUCAUGAAACCCAUUGUCAGGUUAAAUAAUGAUAGAGUAGUAGAUGUUCUGCACAAUUGCUUUUGUUAUAAAACUUGAAAAAAAGUAUAUUAAUUUUUUAUGCCUUGCCUUUCAGUGCAUUAUUACUUAUCUUUGUGCAGAGUAGAUUAAGUAGGUCCAUUGAAUAAGAAAGCAUUAAUUUGGUAGAUUCUCUGUGUUAAGAUGCUCAGUAUUUUUUAUGGAAUAAAGGUGUGGAAGGUUUCUACUCCUGGUCAAGGAGUAGAAACAGGUAGAAAAUAUUUAUAUUUCAGCCCUGCUUCUCCUUUGUCAUAUCCUUCACCACAAGGAUCUACUUUCACUUCUGCCUUGGUUUUAAACAGCAGCCAGUAUAUGAAGGUCUAGCUAACUACACUAUCUCCCUAGGAGAGUUGGUACAAUGUUGUUUCCAAAAAUUAGACAAAGCAUGUUUAAUGGCUCCCUUUCACUAAGUAAAUAAAUAAAAGCAAGAAAGGGAGGAAGCAAGCUGGCUAAAGAAGAAAUGAACUAGACAUCUGUAUGUUUCAUUUUGUUAGUGAUCAAGCUCGUCUUUCAUGAUUAUUACUUUGAUACAUACAAGAUAUAUCACAACUAUUUUCCUAAGCAAUAUGAAGAUACAAAGUUAUUAUAAAAACUAAUGGAUCUAAAAAUACAUAUUGAAAGGUAUAUUUAUCUUUUGCACACCUCGAUGAAUUUUUCACAAACUGAACAGAUCUCUGAAACUGACAACCAUAUAAAACAAACAGACAAAACAAACAAGCAAACAAACAUAACCAACACCCUAGAAACCCUCCUAGGCUCCUUUCUAGUCAAAGGAUUAGUCAUUAUUUUGAUUUCUAACAGUAUAGCUCAAUUUUAUAAAUUAAUUAAGCAAAUUACUCUUUGUGUAAUUUACAUGAAUACAUUAGGUAUUCUUUUGUGCCUGACAUUUUUUGUUGAAUAUUUUGUUUGCAAGAUUUAUCCUAUUGUUGCAUAUGCUUGUAGACUGUUCAUUCUCACAGAUGUAUUAUAAAAUCUAUUGAGCAAAUAUGGCACAGUUUAUUUAUACACUCUACUGUUGGUAGACAUCUUGAUAGUUUCCAGUUUUGUUUGGAGCUAUUACAAAAGUGCUGCUAUAAACAUUCCAGUUAAGUCUUUUGGUAAACUCAAAUAUGUAUUUUUGUUGAAUAUAUAUGUAUAUAUACCUAAAGAAAGAUUCGUUGAUACUGCCAGUUUUCCAACAUGGUUGUAUCAAUCCACAUCACUACCAGUUGUGCAUAAAGAUUUGAGUUGCCUUGUAUCUUUGCCAACACUUGAAAUUUUUUGUCUUUAUUGUUUUAGCCAGACUAGAGGUUGUUUAGUGGUAUUUCACUGUGGUUUAAUUUGCAUUUCCUUGAUGGCUAAUGAACUUGAGAAUAUGGAAAUAUGUUUAUUGGCCAUUUGAAUGUCUUUCUUUAUGAAGUACCUGUUCAAGUAUUUUACCUAUUCCUCUAUUGAGUUGCCUGCAUUUUUCCUAUUGAUUUGCAGGAGUUCUUUAUA